CACUUGGCAUGUAAGAAAGGAAUAUAGCAAGAACUUGAGGAAGCGCAAGUUUUACAACGACAAUUGACAUCACCCUUGUCGGAAGGGUAAUUCUUCUAAAUAGCUUUUAAAAGAGGCGAGAUGCCAUUUCAGCCACAAGACGGCCACGAGAAAAACGAAACGUG
Lineus longissimus is the source of this 164-nucleotide long non-coding RNA. RefSeq lists it as uncharacterized. The record is from RefSeq and is a predicted model, not a curated record. Lineage: Eukaryota; Metazoa; Nemertea; Pilidiophora; Heteronemertea; Lineidae. The transcript is spliced from 3 exons.